AGAGAACAAGUCCCACAUGCAUCCAGUGCUGUAAUAAACAUACCGGCUUUACAACUUUCACAAAAGUUGAGUUUGUUUCUGCAAAUCAUUUUGGCAAGCCAGCCAGGAGACCAUCUCUGUCCUCGCAAGGGCAGAGGGGAAGACGGACCUCCUGAGGCGCACCUUGGGAUUUUCCCGGAGGAGCUCCCCUUGUCUCAGCUUGCCUCCUGCGGAGACAGACAAGGACCUGCUGGUGUGCGGAAAGAUACGGUACCCUAAAAAUGAGUGAAGGCAGCAAGGAUGCUGCGGAGGUCCGAACCUAAUUCAGACGUCUGAUUCGGGCCAGUGCAGUAUGGUGUGUUUCAAGCUACCUGGAAACAAAUGGUUGAAAGAGUAGCAUUGGACAACAUGCAGUUACCUCAGCACGAUCCACGUAAUGCUGUGGGAGUUGAUGCCUUGCUGGGCAAUGGACUGUUCUCUAACCCAGAUUUGCAGGCAAGAUGGGACCCCCUGGUUCUAGCACAGGCCCAGCAGCUGGGUAUGAGUGCCUUACUUAAAACAAUGGAGAUGGCAGCUCCUAAACCAAGGUAUAUUACCAUCCAGCAAGGGGUGAAGGAACCUUUUCUGCAGUUUGUGGAGAGGGUUGCUGCAGCCCUUGAGAAGCAAGUAGAAGAUGGUAAGUUGAGGCAAAUUUUAUGCAGACAAUUAGCACGGGACAAUGCGAAUGAUGAUUGCAGGAGAAUUAUUGAAUCUUUACUGCGAGAUCCCUUGCUGUCUGACCUUGUAGUUGCUUGCUCAAAGGUUGGCUCUGUUGAGCAUAAAAUGGCUGCUUUGGCAACAGUCAUGAAGUCUUCACCCAGAUGUUCUGCUUGUGAAGAAUCAGGGCAUGUGAAGACACAAUGCCCUCAUACUGAUGGACAAUGUGCACACUCCAACGUAAUUUGGACCAGUAAAGUGCCUUGUUAUCGUUGUGACAACUUUGAUCAUAUUGCUAAAUUUUGUAAAGCACUAUCUUUUUCAUGUGGUCAACAAGUGCAAACUGGAAGAGGAACAUGAAGGGGUGCAUGGAGACACAAAUACCCCAACGACAAUCACGAGCCCUGCCAGCACUGCAAAGCUCUCCAUUUGUGACCGAUACACAGGGGCCACAAGAGGCUCGGCAGGGAUUGCUAUACUGGUAGCUGACACAGUGACUAUUUUGACAAGAGGUAUAUGUAAAGUGCUCCUUGAUGCCUAUGGUCCUAUAGGCCAAGGUUUGAGUGCUUUUCUGAUGGGAAGAUCUAGUAGCACUAUUCAAGGUAUUAAUGUCCAUUUAGGUCUUAUUGAUUCUGAUUAUGUGGGACAAAUUCAGGCUAUGGUGUCUGUUAGUGAACCUCCUGUUGUUAUUCAAAAAGGUACUUGUAUUGCGCAACUUGUUCCUUUUAUGAGUUGUGUUCCAACUGUAGUGGACCGGAGUCGUGGCACUGGAGGUUUUGGAUCUACAGGACCACCUCAGGUUCUUUGGACUCAAAAGGUGACAGAUGACCGUCCGGUAACACAAUGUUUGGUCACUGCUAAGGGAUGUCACCCAGAAACUACAACAGUAUCCGGUUUACUUGACACAGGAACAGAUGUAACUAUAAUUUCACAGUUUGUUUGGCCUCCAACAUGGCCCCUCACUCAAUCAACCUUUGGAGUUGUUUGGUUUGGUGGGUCAACUGCUGGUGCUUUAUCUGCUAUUGUGAUUACUGUAACACAUCCAGAAGGCCAACAAGCUAACAUCAGACCUUAUGUUACUAAUGCUCAACCUAACUUAUGGGACCAUGACUGCUUAACCCAAUGGGGUGUUAAAAUUACAAUGGAUUUUUAGUGGGGGCCACUGGGAUGCAGGGCUUUAAACGUCCGGUUGUGUUCUUGAUAUGGCUGACAGAUAAGCCUGUGUGGAUUGAUCAGUGGCCCCUGCCUACUGAAAAGCUUCUUGCCCUGCAAGGCUUAGUGACAGAACAAUUACAAGCUGGACAUAUUGAAAAUUGUGUCACAGUUAUCACUUGGAGGAUUCAGUCAACGGAAAGGGGAACAACAUGAUCACUUUACACCAUUUGUUUGGUUACAUAGAGGUAUUUUAACACUGAGUGUUCAGCUAAGGCCUAUAAUAUAGUAUAUUCACCCCACUACUAUUUCUAUAAACUAUGCAGUACAUACUUACAGAUUUUGUUAUACUGACAAAUGUUAUGAAUAGAAAGUUGUAUUUUUUUUAGUUGCAGAGUUAAAAACAAGUCAGACCAGUCAGACCUCUUUAGUUUCACUAAUAAAGAGGAGCUCUUCAAUUACCUGUUAAUGGCCGGUGAUUAACCAUUGUUCCCCUGAUGCUGGCCGCUUGCCAGGGAGAGACACCAGGACAGACCCUCCAAGUACAAAGAGAAUAGCAUUGACAUCAGAGCCAGUAUGCAGAUGAGAAAUGCAUUGCGCCCUGAAUUUUUACAGUUUUACAGUUUUUACAGGAAAAACCCUUAAAAUUACGAGCCAACAAGUGACCUAAGUGACGUCUAAGGAUGGGAGCGUAGUCCCGUACCUGCUUGGAUCCUUUUUGCUUCUCACCCUAACCUGAAAAGAUGCUGAUUAAAGAGACGCCCCGGGGUGUUAGACAAAAAAGAUAGGAAUCUGCUACUCUCCCGUGAGGACAGAAUCCCCAUCUCUGUCUGCAGACCAGCGGACAAAGCUGCAUCAUCCUCCUUCUCCGUGCCACACCUGGGAGCAGCGGCGGCGUGGGCGUGACCCGUCGAUUUCUCCCCACCUGAGCUGAUUCUUCUUAAUAAAGGCAUUAAAAAGGAGAAAGAUCUCCUGCCCAUUUAUUUCAACAAACAGCUAAAUAAAGGCAUACAUGAUAUUAUAUCUGAAUACUUAUGCUCAAUGCAAAAACUAAUAUAUAAAUGCAAAAGCCAAUAUCAUAUUGCAGCUCUCUUUUUUAACAGUUCCUCCCCUUUUUCCUUCUUACUGCAUUUGGCUUGAGCUACUACUUUUGAACUUCUAUAUUCUUGCCAUAUUGAUACUUUUCAUAGAUUCUACAUGCUUUUCCUAAGCUUCUGCCGUCUUUUGCCCUUCUUAAUACCAUAAUGUUUUGUUUUCCCCCUACGGUUCCCAGUUCUGGAUUGGUGGGGACUGUCAUCACUUGCAUGAUUUGAACCACAUAGAGAAUUAAUCGGAUUAGGCAUGGGAUUAAACAUGGAUGGAAAAUCAGGCUCGUUAUUCCACAUAACACUACAAAUCCCACUUUCUUCCACCAGGUUAUUCCAAAGAAGUUUUCUAACCAUCCUUUAUUCAUUAUAGAUUCCCAUUUCUGGAUGGGUACAUGGGCUAUUUUCCAGAUGUUUUUAGCUAUAUCCAAAACUGCAGCCCCAUUAUCAUCAAUUUGUAAGCAACAAUUGGAUAUGUUAAAUUUAUUCAA
Molecule: long non-coding RNA, 3403 nt
Organism: Passer domesticus (house sparrow)
Lineage: Eukaryota; Metazoa; Chordata; Aves; Passeriformes; Passeridae
Exons: 3
Source: RefSeq, a predicted model, not a curated record